RNAcentral lists this small RNA (173 nucleotides) under Gopherus agassizii (Agassiz's desert tortoise). Its description in RNAcentral is "TUC338 (ENSGAGG00000014249.1)". The record is from RNAcentral. Lineage: Eukaryota; Metazoa; Chordata; Testudines; Testudinidae.
UUGACAUCCUGGGGACGGAAGUCUUCUCUUUAUCCACAGAAAACAGGUACAGCACAGGCGGCUACAGUUCAAUCUUCCCCACCAACGCACUUCAAACCUGAACCAAAGGGGGGCCCACAUCUAGGAGAGAGAAGAGAGUAGGUUCUCCGUGGUUCAUUCAGUCCAUGUCCUCU